GACGAACGCUGGCGGCGUGCCUAAUACAUGCAAGUCGAGCGGAACUGGGGGAGCUUGCUCCUUCCAGUUUAGCGGCGGACGGGUGAGUAACACGUGGGCAACCUGCCCUGCAGAUCGGGAUAACUCCGGGAAACCGGUGCUAAUACCGAAUAGUUUGGCGCCUCUCCUGAGGCGCUACGGAAAGACGGUUUCGGCUGUCACUGCAGGAUGGGCCCGCGGCGCAUUAGCUAGUUGGUGGGGUAACGGCCCACCAAGGCGACGAUGCGUAGCCGGCCUGAGAGGGGGGCCGGCCACACUGGGCCUGAGACACGGCCCAGACUCCUACGGGAGGCAGCAGUAGGGAAUCUUCCGAAAUGGACGCAAGUCUGACGGAGCAACGCCGCGUGAGUGACGAAGGUUUUCGGAUCGUAAAACUCUGUUGUGAGGGAAGAACACGUACCAACUAACUAUUGGUACCUUGACGGUACCUCACCAGAAAGCCACGGCUAACUACGUGCCAGCCGCCGCCGUAA
RNAcentral lists this ribosomal RNA (512 nucleotides) under uncultured bacterium. Its description in RNAcentral is "partial 16S ribosomal RNA". It matches the Rfam family "Bacterial small subunit ribosomal RNA", at positions 28 to 523 of the family's 1533-position model. The record is from RNAcentral.